CACGUAGGCGGACUGGAAAGUUGGAGGUGAAAUCCCAGGGCUCAACCUUGGAACUGCCCUCAAAACUAUCAGUCUGGAGUUCGAGAGAGGUGAGUGGAAUUCCGAGUGUAGAGGUGAAAUUCGUAGAUAUUCGGAGGAACACCAGUGGCGAAGGCGGCUCACUGGCUCGAUACUGACGCUGAGGUGCGAAAGUGUGGGGAGCAAAC
This 206-nucleotide ribosomal RNA is filed under the name uncultured bacterium. RNAcentral's name for it is "partial 16S ribosomal RNA". It matches the Rfam family "Bacterial small subunit ribosomal RNA", at positions 568 to 773 of the family's 1533-position model. The record is from RNAcentral.